CUAUGGGGUAAAACUAAACUUAGGAGGAAAUGUCUCUCCUAUGGGUAAAGACGUGGGAUGUAUUCCCUUGUUAUACAGGUGGGCGCCUACUGGUAAAGACAUGAAAUGUAUUCCCUUGUUAUACAGGUGGGCGCCUAAAAUAUGAAAUGCACAGACAAAAAAGUAUUCCUCUCGUUAUUCAGGUGGGCGCCUGUCUAAACUAAGACAUAAAAGUAUUCCUCUCGUUAUUCAGGUGGGCGCCUGGUAUGAAAUUUAAAGACUGAAAUGUAUUCCUCUCGUUAUUCAGGUGGGCGCCUGGUAGUAAAGACAUGAAAAAUGAUAUGCCCGCAUUAUACUGGUGGGUGACCUAGAACAGAAAUGAAAAGACAGAAAUGUAUUCCUCUCGUUAUUCAGGUGGGCGCCUGUCUUCAACAAUAACUUUGAAAAUAAAAUCCUAUUCGAGGGCGGAUGAACCCGACAUAUCCUAUUCGAGGACGGAUGAACCCAACAUAUCCUAUUUGAGGGCGGAUGAACCCAGCAUAUCCUGUUUGAGGGCGGAUGAACCCGACAUAUCCUAUUUGAGGGCGGAUGAACCCGAAAUAUCCUAUUCGAGGGCGGAUGAACCCAA
RNAcentral lists this long non-coding RNA (607 nucleotides) under Nicotiana tabacum (common tobacco). RNAcentral's name for it is "long non-coding RNA (NTAB_LNC010298)". Lineage: Eukaryota; Viridiplantae; Streptophyta; Magnoliopsida; Solanales; Solanaceae. The record is from RNAcentral.